AGUCCCUGUGUCAGUGAAUCCAUGGAGAUGGAUUUGGGGAAUCUGUGGGGACUUUGUUGACCCUACAAAGGACAUAGGUGACCAAAGCAGGCAUCAGUUUCCCCUUCGGAGAAUCAAAGAGUAAAAGAGGUUUCUUGUUUUUUUAGAGGGUCCUUUAAGUCAGAGCCUGGAAUCAGAAAAUGGAAGAAGCCUGGAUUGCCAAGCUCACCAGUUAGAAGAGAACCAGCUGACCCACAGUUCCAAAGGACUCACACUGGAAUUUUCCUCAAUGAGAAUUAAACUGUUAUUGUUUUAGGUCAUUAAAAUUUGGGAUAGUUUGUUAUAGUGACUGAGUUGUCUGACAAAGGGCAAAAAAGAGAUUCUUCUCUCUAUAAUAUGUCAUAC
Bos taurus (domestic cattle) is the source of this 384-nucleotide long non-coding RNA. Lineage: Eukaryota; Metazoa; Chordata; Mammalia; Artiodactyla; Bovidae. The record is from Ensembl.